This 497-nucleotide ribosomal RNA is filed under the name uncultured bacterium. RNAcentral's name for it is "partial 16S ribosomal RNA". It matches the Rfam family "Bacterial small subunit ribosomal RNA", at positions 28 to 507 of the family's 1533-position model. The record is from RNAcentral.
GAUGAACGCUGGCGGCGUGCCUAAUACAUGCAAGUCGAGCGAACAGAUGAGAAGCUUGCUCCUCUGACGUUAGCGGCGGACGGGUGAGUAACACGUGGAUAACCUACCUAUAAGACUGGGAUCACUUCGGGAAACUGGAGCUAAUACCGGAUAAUAUAUUGAACCGUAUGGUUCAAUAGAGAAAGACGGUUUUGCUGUCACUUAUAGAUGGAUCCGCGCCGCAUUAGCUAGUUGGUAAGGUAACGGCCUACCAAGGCAACGAUGCGUAGCCGACCUGGGAGGGGGAUCGGCCAAACUGGAACUGAGACACGGUCCAGACUCCUACGGGAGGAAGCAGUAGGGAAUCUUGCGCAAUGGGCGAAAGCCUGACGGAGCAACGCCGCGUAAGUAAGGAAGGUCUUCGGAUCGUAAAACUCUUUUAUUAGGGAAGAACAAAUGUGUAAGUAACUGUGCACGUCUUGACGGUACCUAAUCAGAAAGCCACGGCUAACUACGUG